AUGGGAGGACCUCCCGCGGCGCCGCGGCAGGAGGAGGACGCUGUGGUGGUGACGGAGCUGGAGGUGCGCGUGCAGCUGCUGGCCUCCGGCGGCGGCGCGUACAACAUCAACGACAACGCCGACAUCCUCUCGGAGAUCCUGGCGCGCCUCGACGGCCGCUCGCUCGCCUCCGCGGCCAGCGUCUGCCGCCUCUGGGCCGCCGUGUCGCGCCGGGACGCCGUCUGGGAGGCGCUCUGCCUCCGCCACGUGGGCCCGGCGUCCGGCCCCGCGGCGGGCCACGCCACCCGCACCGUCGUGGCCGCGCUCGGCGGGUACCGCCGGCUCUACCGCCUCUGCCUCGGCCCGGCGCUGGACCGGCUGGGACGCGCGGGAGCCCUUGCACACGCGCAGGCCCGGGCGCGACUGUCGCUCUCCCUCUCGCUGUCGCUCUUCUCCAUCGACUGCUACGAGCGGCUAGGAGGCGGGGGAGGGGGCUCUGCCGGCGCCGGCAGGCAGCAGCCGCCGUCGUCGCUGCUCUUCCUCUGCAAGCCGGUGGACGUGUCCUGA
Molecule: ribosomal RNA, 546 nt
Filed under: Triticum aestivum (bread wheat)
Lineage: Eukaryota; Viridiplantae; Streptophyta; Magnoliopsida; Poales; Poaceae
Description: partial small subunit ribosomal RNA
Source: RNAcentral